This 491-nucleotide ribosomal RNA is filed under the name uncultured bacterium. RNAcentral describes it as "partial 16S ribosomal RNA". It matches the Rfam family "Bacterial small subunit ribosomal RNA", at positions 28 to 507 of the family's 1533-position model. The record is from RNAcentral.
GAUGAACGCUGUCUACAGGCUUAACACAUGCAAGUCGAGGGGAAACGACGGGGAAGCUUGCUUCCCCGGGCGUCGACCGGCGCACGGGUGAGUAACGCGUAUCCAACCUGCCUCUGACUGAGGGAUAACCCGUCGAAAGUCGGCCUAAUACCUCAUGGCAUCGUCUGCGGGCAUCCAACGACGAUUAAAGAUUUCAUCGGUCAGGGAUGGGGAUGCGUCUGAUUAGCUUGUUGGCGGGGUAACGGCCCACCAAGGCUACGAUCAGUAGGGGUUCUGAGAGGAAGGUCCCCCACAUUGGAACUGCGACACGGUCCAAACUCCUACGGGAGGCAGCAGUGAGGAAUAUUGGUCAAUGGGCGGGAGCCUGAACCAGCCAAGUAGCGUGCAGGAUGCCGGCCCUAUGGGUUGUAAACUGCUUUUAUGCGGGGAUAAAGUGAGGGACGUGUCCUUCAUUGCAGGUACCGCAUGAAUAAGGACCGGCUAAUUCCGUG